UCAGCAGUCAAGAAUAUUAGUCAAUGCUCGCAAGAGUGAACUAGCUAACUGAAAUCUUAAAUUUUAUUUUAAGAUAAGGUAAGAGAAAAUAAUGAUAUUAUCUUACUAUUAGUGUCGUCUAAAUUUGGUGCCAGAAGACUCGGUAAGACCUUAGACGCAAACGUUAAUCGUCAUAAUCAGGCGUAAAGGGUGUGUAGGCGGCUUUAAAUACAAAUAUAAUUAUAGCUUAAAAAAUUAUAUUCUAAUAAAAGCUAGAAUCUAAAAGAGGGUAAGCUAAACAACAUAAUUAAUUGGGACUGACAACUUAUAAUAAUGUGGAGUACUAAAGGUUAAAGCUAUUUAUCUACUUAUGAUUGACGCUGAGAAACGAAGGGGAGAAUAAGAAACUUAGAUUAGAGACCUAAUUAUCUCUCUCAGUCAACGAUGAAUGGUAGUUAUUAAAAAUAAAAAUUAUAAUAAUUUUAUUAGUGACGAGGUUAACACGAUGACCAUUCCGCCUUGUUAGUAAGACUGCAAAGUUGAAAACAAAAAAAUUAGUCGGUCUUGAAGCAAACGAAGUGAAGCAUGUUAUUUAAU
Molecule: ribosomal RNA, 576 nt
Filed under: Veloporphyrellus pantoleucus
Lineage: Eukaryota; Fungi; Basidiomycota; Agaricomycetes; Boletales; Boletaceae
Description: SSU rRNA
Rfam family: Bacterial small subunit ribosomal RNA
Source: RNAcentral